Molecule: long non-coding RNA, 635 nt
Organism: Oncorhynchus tshawytscha (Chinook salmon)
Lineage: Eukaryota; Metazoa; Chordata; Actinopteri; Salmoniformes; Salmonidae
Source: Ensembl
GUGAGAGAGGGGAGGGUAGAGAGAGAGGGGAGGGUAGAGAGAGAGAGGGAAGGGUAGAGAGAGAGAGGGGAGGGUAGAGAGAGAGGAAAGGAGAGCGAGAGAGAGGAAAGGAGAGCGAGAGAGGGGAGGGUAGAGAGAGAGGGUAGGGUAGAGAGAGAGAGAGGGAGGGUAGAGAGAGAGGAAAGGAGAGCGAGAGAGAGGAAGGUAGAGCGAGAGGAAAGGAGAGCGAGAGAGGGGAUGGUAGAGAGAGAGAGGAAAGGAGAGCGAGAGAGAGGAAAGGAGAGCGAGAGAGGGGAGGGUAGAGAGAGAGGGGAGGGUAGAGAGAGAGAGGGGAGGGUAGAGAGAGAGAGGGGAGGGUAGAGAGAGAGGAAAGGAGAGCGAGAGAGAGGAAGGUAGAGCGAGAGGAAAGGAGAGCGAGAGAGGGGAGGGUAGAGAGAGAGAGGAAAGGAGAGCGAGAGAGAGGAAAGGAGAGCGAGAGAGGGGAGGGUAGAGAGAGAGGGGAGGGUAGAGAGAGAGGGGAGGGUAGAGAGAGAGAGGAAAGGAGAGUGAGAGCGAGAGAGAGGAAGGUAGAGAUAGAGGGGAGGGUAGAGAGAGAGAGAGGGAGGGGUAGAGAGAGAGAGAGGGGAGGGUAGAGA